Molecule: long non-coding RNA, 1767 nt
Organism: Glycine soja
Lineage: Eukaryota; Viridiplantae; Streptophyta; Magnoliopsida; Fabales; Fabaceae
Exons: 2
Source: RefSeq, a predicted model, not a curated record
CACCAAAACCAUCUAAUGAGUGAGGAAGCACUUCCUCUGGCUUCUGACCAAUUUGACUCACUUCUGUAUGCUCCUCUAUCUGGUUCUUCUCAUACUGUUCUGACAUCAGGUCUACAGCACCAGAACCAGAAGAUAUAAAAGCAUCUUCACCGUCAAGUGCUUUCAGAGAAUUCUUACUGUUUAUGAAAUCAUCUUGCUGAAACGAAUUGCGGUAAAUGACAAUGAGCACAAGAAAUUCAAAUUUGGUAAUUUGUAGGUUUCAUUGGUUCUCACUCAUGACUCACCGUGAAUUUGGUUAAGUUAGUCUUUCUGGAAUUGUAGGCUUGACUCUUCUCAGCCAGAAUAGAAGGCAUGCUAGAGGUGCAAAAUUGGAUGCUUUGAUUGCUACUAAUCUGCAGCACAAUGUAAACAUCAAAAUUAAAAAUAGCUGCAAAGGAUCAACUGAAAAACUUAUUUUUAAAGAUAUGUAUGUAACUAUGAUCACAUGUGUGUUUAUGUAUGCUACUAAGUACUCCGUGCUUUCCACUGAAGAAAAGUGAAAAACAAAAAUAAGAGAGAUAGAAAGCAUAACUACUUGAGGGUUAAAAGAUGGCAUAGCCACUUCCCUUUCCUUGCUUCCAUAAGAAAAAAGAGUGAUAUUUAUGACUAUAAGAUCAGAAACAUAAAUAAGGGGGCAGAAACAGAUAGGGAUUUGAGAAUAAGACAAUAAGAAAAGUUGUUAAAAGAAAAGUGAUAUGUCAUUGUUGAUACAGUUAUGUGCUUCCUUUGAAUACCAUUUUAAGAAUACUUCAGUACUAUUUUUUUUAUCACUAUUACUUAAAUUGUGUGUUAAACUUCCCAGUUUGGUUGUAAUGUCUAGUACUAUCAGAACUCAUUCAAGCUUAAUACUUCUAUCAAAAGUCUAUACUCUAUAUAGCUUAUGAAAGUGACAGAAAUAGGAAAAACAAGGUGAGUUUCGAUGCAACCAUCUAUGAAAAUAAGACAAAGAUAAAAGGGUACAAGAAUGAUUAAUUGCAAAAAUUUAAAGAACUUCACUUGACUCACGUGGCUAGAUGAUGUAGGACCUGUGUAGUUUCUGAGUGGGAGUGGAAACAAGGAUGUUGAUCCUGGUGCAAAAUUUUGAGAAGGGAUGCUGAAUUGUUCAUAGAGUGCCAUUUUAUUCCUUGGGGGUGCUUUUGGCCCUCGUUUCUCUGCAUCCUUAACAUGCAACCUUGGAAACAUUGGGCUAAUCUCCUUGCCCUCUUCAAUUCCCCCUCUCGUCCUAUUCAUCAUUCUACACACUAACCACUCGCAACAACUUCAUCAUAUCUCUGCCAAUUUCACAAUACAUAUACUUUUCAUUCCUCUCAUACAAAAUUGCUAGCCGAGUAUGUGUUUUUCAGUUGCAAAACCACUUCAGAAGUACCAGAAACUCAAAUCCAUAUAACAGAAACAAGUUCUGUUCGAAAAUUUAGCCAGUAUAAGAAUUCCAAUUCAACCCUAUCAAAACAAUUAUGGGUCAAAUCCACAAGCAAUUCAUGGUGCAUUAACUCAUACAAAAAAAAAAAAAGAUUAACCAGCUUCAAAGAAACAGUUUUUCUGAUCGCACAUUACUAAAAAGGAGGAGGAAAACAUCAUAAAUGAGAGCAAAAAUAAAAAAAAUAAAAACGCAAAUUCACGUGUACCCAGUUGUUAAAAAUUGAACUUUUUUAGCUGAAAAUCAAAUCAUAGCGACCAAACAACAACAAACUUGGAAAAGCACAAGAACCCAAAUGAAGAUUACUUAAA